This 1365-nucleotide long non-coding RNA is filed under the name Homo sapiens (human). RNAcentral describes it as "long non-coding RNA NONHSAT142803.2". Lineage: Eukaryota; Metazoa; Chordata; Mammalia; Primates; Hominidae. The record is from RNAcentral.
GAGGGCGCUUCCGGCACAGCGGAACUCCGGGUGCCGGUUGAGGUUGCUGGUGGACCUGCUCUGGUGGUCUUGGAUGAGGCCCCAUGAGCGCGGCGCCCCUGGUGGGCUACAGCAGCAGCGGCUCCGAGGAUGAGUGCCAGAAGCCCAUGCCAGAAGCCCAACCCAAAGUGGCUUAAACCAAAGAGAAAUUUAUAGGCUGGUAUAACUAAAAGAUUCAGAGGUAGCACUGGCUCAUGCAUGAGUGGACCGGGGUGACAAGAUAUCAGAUGGCACCUGACUGUCACCACCACAGGCAGACUGUUCACCAUCUCAGCUCUGUCCCCUUCCUUUGUCACAAUGACGAAGCCACCGCAUCUCCCGGCUAAUGGUGUACCAGCCUGGAAAGACAGCCUCCCUCUCUGAUUGGCUUCAGCACAAGUCACAGGAAUGACUGCCUGGUCUGACCCGUCUCCUGUGUGCUUUCUUUGGGAGUAAAGAGUUAACAGGCCCUUCCCCCUUCCACAGAGAGUGCUUCCCUUAUCCUGCGGAAGCUCUGCCCCUGGAUGAAGGAGGAGAGCGGCUAUGUUAGUGCUGAUGACUGGCACACUGCACUUGCGCUAGGAAGACAGCAUGAACUGCACCCCUCCAGGGAAGCCACGGCCUGGGCUCCCCUGCAUACAGUGGUUCCUUAACUGGGCACGAGUCCCUUGCUGGGACUUAGGAAAACUCUGCCUAAAGUCCAUUGCAAGAAAUACUGAUCCCUGUGGGAUGUAUAUGUGGCUGGUUCCCUUGCUCACUGAGAGACUAGAAAACAGCACCUGGACCCCUGGGCUGGUUCCCUCUGAGGAAAGGAUCUGUGUCAUGAGUGAAGCCCGGGCAGGUGUGGUCUGUUCAACUUUGAUCAUCUGGUUGAGCCUAAGGUGACCAAGAGUGGGCGGUGCACCCCUGAUUCUGUUGCUGUGACUGAGGAAAUGCUAAGCUCUGUUUGGCCAGGCCUGGGCAGCCUGCCUCUGGAGUAGGGGUGGAGAGCCAUCCUGCAACACGAGGUUACCAGGAGAAGGAGUUUUGGUUGGGCACAGACAUCCAGUGUCCACUCCAGGAUGUUUGGGAGACACCUUGAGAACUCUUCCUAAAAGCUGCACUUAACCAAGCUCCUGGUGGUUCUGUGAUCCCUUACAUUUUCUCCAGAGGCAGAGAGUUGGCUGACUGACUUUUGCCCUUGGGCAGAUUGUGAGGCUCUACCCAGCAUGCUGGUAUAUUAUGUUCCCUCAGAUGGGGGUGAGACCCUUGGCCUGGGGGCUGUAAAAUGAUCUGUUUCUGUGAGGAGACUUUCCAUGGUGAGAUUGCUAGUGUCUCAGAGAAUAAAGGACAGAACCAGUCCAAGUC